Numida meleagris (helmeted guineafowl) is the source of this 2100-nucleotide RNA transcript. It is a transcript of the gene named mediator complex subunit 20, with no coding region annotated. The transcript has 4 exons. Lineage: Eukaryota; Metazoa; Chordata; Aves; Galliformes; Numididae. The record is from RefSeq and is a predicted model, not a curated record.
GCGCCCGCCCGCCCCUUCUGCCGCCGCUUCCGGUGCCGGGCGGGGCGCGAGGGGGCGGACGGACGGACGGACGGACGGAGCGAUGGGGGUCACCUGUGUGACGCAGGUGCCCGUGCUGGAGGGGAAGAGCGUGCAGCAGACGGUGGAGCUGCUGAGCAAGAAGCUGGAGCUGCUGGGCGCCGAGAAGCACGGGGCGUUCGGCGUGGACUGCGAGACGUACCACACGGCCGCCGCCAUCAGCAGCCAAGGGCAGACGGGCAAGCUGAUGUAUGUGAUGCACAACUCCGAGUAUCCCCUCAGCUGUUUUGCUCUCUUUGAAAAUGGUCCCUGCCUCAUAGCAGAUGCCAACUUUGAUACGCUUAUGGUGAAGCUGAAAGGCUUCUUCCAGAACGCCAAGGCAAACAAGAUAGAGAGCCGGGGCACACGCUACCAGUACUGCGACUUCUUGGUGAAGGUGGGCACCGUUACAAUGGGGCCCAGCGCCCGUGGGAUAUCUGUGGAGGUAAGAAUCAUCUUUAAAGGGUAUGAAAUACAGCUGUGGUUAGGGAAAUCUCAUGCCAGAGGCUUGGCUAGAAAUCUUGAGUCCCCAUCCCUUCUGUGUAUCAAUUGUGUUACUAGGUGCUAGCAGUUUGUACUAGAUGCAUUCAUGUGUGCGGCAGGCAGAGCAUUUAUCUCCUUUUCACAGCAAGGUUUAAUUCAGGCAGGUACUCUAGGGCUCACCUGUGCCUACAGAAAAGCCUGCUGUAAAAGUGUCAAUAGACAAAACCCUGAAGGGAUGCCAUCCAACCAAAAAGCUGCUUAAAGUCCUGACGCACAACACUGGAAGUGCAGUUCAGGUUAAUCAACGUACUGAGGUGGGUAGAACAGUAUUAAAUUACCAGCUGAAGUGAUUUGGGUUUUACUUUCCCAGUCUUGUGCAGACCGUGGCUGGGCUGAGCAGUGCCAAGCGGAGCAGUGCCCUCCUUCUGCAGGUUUGGCUCUAAAGCUGCUCUCUCCUCGUCAGAGAGCUUUGUGCUGCAGAUGUCAGUGCUGCCCCAGGUGUGCUGACCUGGAUUGCUGCACCAUGGGGUGCUGUGUGGGCUCAAAGCAUCUCAUCAGACAGCUUUCGCUCUCUGCUCAGUGCAGUGACUGUUGAUGAGGCUCUUGAGCAUCAGUCAUAACGUAGCAACUGCUGUUGGGUGUCUCGCAGGGCGGAAGCUGGACUGCAGCAAACCUUGAACGCUCUAGAGGGAGAUAUAUCUGUGCAUGUGACCCUUCAUGACAGGACCUAGGAUGUCAAGUGGUGAGGUGGUUGGCUGGAUGCAAGUGUGAGUGCAAGGCUUUCAAGCUACAGACAAGCCUCAGCAGCUCAGAAACAUCUUGGAUUAACAUGAGGAGCUGGGCUGUGCUAGUACAGGAAGGGCAAAGCAGAGCAGGUGAGGCUCCAGACAUGUAGGUGUAUUGGUGCCUAGCAGUCUUUAAGGUAGCUGAGAAUGAGAUGCUGAAAGAUCUUUCAAAAUCUGAACUUAUGUCCUCCUAAACACACAAAUCCUAUUAACUAGUCUUUAAUUAAUAAUGACACAGCAUCUACCCGGGCACAUGUUCCUAGCCAGCAGGGAUGGGAUUGAGAAAUGGCUUGGUUUGGCUUCAUAGGAAUAAACACAGUAGUAGUGUAGUGUUGUAAGGAAUGCUGUUGACCCAGGCUUAAAAAGAAGCUUGUUUUACCCUUAGCUUGGGUUCAGGACCAGAUUUACCUGGCAGUCUGGUUGUUUCUGCUUCGGUUUAGCAGUUUCUUUUCAGGGUUUCCAUUAGGACAUAACCCGUGAUCUGGAACUGCAAGUCCUUAAAUCCUGAGGCUUUUUUCAGUACACACCUGAAGGAUAUCACAGCCACACAAGCUGUUAACAUAGCAACUUGUGGGAAUGAAGUUUAUCACUGGAUUUCCACUGCUGGGGAUUUAAUAUGACCAACAAGGCUGCGGGGUGGAGUACUGCCCCUGUGUGAUAGCCAACGACUGCUGGAACCUGCUGAUGGAGUUCAUGCAGAGCUUCAUGGGGAGCCACACUCCCGGCAUCCCGUCUGUGUUUGGCACCAAGCAUGACAGCAUCUACAGCCCCGCGG